UGUUAUGUGGCGAAGCUGGUUAACGCACCCUAUCUAUCGAAUUGAGAAGAAGUGGGUUCAAAUCCUACCAGAAUUA
Molecule: non-coding RNA, 76 nt
Organism: Aedes albopictus (Asian tiger mosquito)
Lineage: Eukaryota; Metazoa; Arthropoda; Insecta; Diptera; Culicidae
Source: Rfam